This 548-nucleotide ribosomal RNA is filed under the name uncultured bacterium. RNAcentral describes it as "bacterial SSU rRNA". It matches the Rfam family "Bacterial small subunit ribosomal RNA", at positions 771 to 1319 of the family's 1533-position model. The record is from RNAcentral.
ACCUAAUAGAUACCCAGGUAGUCCACGCCGUAAACGUUGGGCGCUAGGUGUAGGGGACCUUCCACGUCCUCUGUGCCGCAGCUAAACGCAUUAAGCGCCCCGCCUGGGGAGUACGGCCGCAAGGCUAAAACUCAAAGGAAUUGACGGGGGCCCGCACAAGCGGCGGAGCAUGUGGCUUAAAUUCGAUGCAACGCGAAGAACCUUACCUGGGUUUGACAUGUACGGAAAUCCGGCAGAGACGUCGGGUCCGCAAGGGUCGUACACAGGUGGUGCAUGGUUGUCGUCAGCUCGUGUCGUGAGAUGUUGGGUUAAGUCCCGCAACGAGCGCAACCCUCGUCCUAUGUUGCCAGCGAGUAAUGUCGGGGACUCAUAGGAGACUGCCGGGGUCAACUCGGAGGAAGGUGGGGAUGACGUCAAAUCAUCAUGCCCCUUAAGUCCAGGGCUGCACACAUGCUACAAUGGCCGGUACAAAGGGCUGCGAAACCGCGAGGUGGAGCGAAUCCCAAAAAGCCGGUCUCAGUUCGGAUUGGGGUCUGCAACUCGACCCC